This 271-nucleotide ribosomal RNA is filed under the name uncultured bacterium. Its description in RNAcentral is "partial 16S ribosomal RNA". It matches the Rfam family "Bacterial small subunit ribosomal RNA", at positions 524 to 794 of the family's 1533-position model. The record is from RNAcentral.
UACGUAGGGUGCGAGCGUUAUUCGGAAUCACUGGGCGUAAAGCGUGCGUAGGCUGCCUAGAAAGUUGGGAGUGAAAGCCCAGGGCUCAACCCUGGAAUUGCUCUCAAAACUACUAGGCUCGGAUUCGGGAGAGGAUAGCGGAAUUGUCAGUGUAGCAGUGAAAUGCGUAGAUAUUGACAGGAACACCAGUGGCGCAAGCGGCUAUCUGGACCGACAUCGACGCUGAGGCACGAAAGCGUGGGGAUCAAACAGGAUUAGAUACCCUGGUAGU